UCGAACGGAAAGGCCCCUUUGGGGGUGCUCGAGUGGCGAACGGGUGAGUAACACGUGGGUGAUCUGCCCUGCACUUCGGGAUAAGCUUGGGAAACUGGGUCUAAUACCGGAUAGGACCAUGCCAUGCAUGUGGUGUGGUGGAAAGCUUUUGCGGUGUGGGAUGGGCCCGCGGCCUAUCAGCUUGCUGGUGGGGUGAUGGCCUACCAAGGCGACGACGGGUAGCCGGCCUGAGAGGGUGUCCGGCCACACUGGGACUGAGAUACGGCCCAGACUCCUACGGGAGGCAGCAGUGGGGGAAUAUUGCACAAUGGGCGCAAGCCUGAUGCAGCGACGCCGCGUGGGGGAUGACGGCCUUCGGGUUGUAAACCUCUUUCAGUGCCGACGAAGCGUAAGUGACGGUAGGCACAGAAGAAGCACCGGCCAACUACGUGCCAGCAGCCGCGGUAAUACGUAGGGUGCGAGCGUUGUCCGGAAUUACUGGGCGUAAAGAGCUCGUAGGUGGUUUGUCGCGUUGUUCGUGAAAACCGGGGGCUUAACUCUCGGCGUGCGGGCGAUACGGGCAGACUGGAGUACUGCAGGGGAGACUGGAAUUCCUGGUGUAGCGGUGGAAUGCGCAGAUAUCAGGAGGAACACCGGUGGCGAAGGCGGGUCUCUGGGCAGUAACUGACGCUGAGGAGCGAAAGCGUGGGGAGCGAACAGGAUUAGAUACCCUGGUAGUCCACGCCGUAAACGGUGGGUACUAGGUGUGGGUUUCCUUCCUUGGGAUCCGUGCCGUAGCUAGCGCAUUAAGUACCCCGCCUGGGGAGUACGGCCGCAAGGCUAAAACUCAAAGGAAUUGACGGGGGCCCGCACAAGCGGCGGAGCAUGUGGAUUAAUUCGAUGCAACGCGAAGAACCUUACCUGGGUUUGACAUGCACAGGACGCGUCUAGAGAUAGGCGUUCCCUUGUGGCCUGUGUGCAGGUGGUGCAUGGCUGUCGUCAGCUCGUGUCGUGAGAUGUUGGGUUAAGUCCCGCAACGAGCGCAACCCUUGUCUCAUGUUGCCAGCACGUGAUGGUGGGGACUCGUGAGAGACUGCCGGGGUCAACUCGGAGGAAGGUGGGGAUGACGUCAAGUCAUCAUGCCCCUUAUGUCCAGGGCUUCACACAUGCUACAAUGGCCGGUACAAAGGGCUGCGAUGCCGUGAGGUGGAGCGAAUCCUUGUUAAAGCCGGUCUCAGUUCGGAUCGGGGUUUGCAACUCGACCCCGUGAAGUCGGAGUCGCUAGUAAUCG
This 1270-nucleotide ribosomal RNA is filed under the name uncultured Mycobacterium sp. RNAcentral describes it as "bacterial SSU rRNA". It matches the Rfam family "Bacterial small subunit ribosomal RNA", at positions 62 to 1344 of the family's 1533-position model. The record is from RNAcentral. Lineage: Bacteria; Bacillati; Actinomycetota; Actinomycetes; Mycobacteriales; Mycobacteriaceae.